AUUGAACGCUGGCGGCAUGCCUUACACAUGCAAGUCGAACGGUAACAGGUCUUCGGAUGCUGACGAGUGGCGAACGGGUGAGUAAUACAUCGGAACGUGCCUAGUAGGGGGGGAUAACUACUCGAAAGAGUGGCUAAUACCGCAUGAGAUCUACGGAUGAAAGCAGGGGAUCGCAAGACCUUGUGCUACUAGAGCGGCCGAUGGCAGAUUAGGUAGUUGGUGGGAUAAAAGCUUAACAAGACGAAGAUGGGUAGCUGGUCUGAAGGGACGAUCAUCCACACUGGGACUGAGACACGGCCCAGACUCCUACGGGAGGCAGCAGUGGGGAAUUUUGGACAAUGGGCGAAAGCCUGAUCCAGCAAUGCCGCGUGCAGGAUGAAGGCCUUCGGGUUGUAAACUGCUUUUGUACGGAACGAAAAGCCCCGGGUUAAUACCCUGGGGUCAUGACGGUACCGUAAGAAUAAGCACCGGCUAACUACGUGCCAGCCGCCGCGGUAA
Molecule: ribosomal RNA, 498 nt
Filed under: uncultured bacterium
Lineage: Bacteria
Description: partial 16S ribosomal RNA
Rfam family: Bacterial small subunit ribosomal RNA
Source: RNAcentral